This is a long non-coding RNA of Heterocephalus glaber (naked mole-rat), 2872 nucleotides long. Lineage: Eukaryota; Metazoa; Chordata; Mammalia; Rodentia; Bathyergidae. The record is from Ensembl.
GAAAAAAUCUGGACCGGUCUUCCAGAGAGUGAGGGCAGCGGUCCGAGUGCUUUAAGUGCCAGUGACAGAGUCCUGGGCAAAGCGGUGCCCUCCAGAACCGCUGGUCUCUGCCGAGCCUGUGUGACCGUGGCUGAGGACCCCUGGCCCUGGAGGAGGACCUGCCCCUAUUCCAGGUGGAAAUGAGGUUGUCCGCCACCGUGCUGGCCAGUGAGGAAUGCCCAACGUGACUGGCAGUGGCCGGGGCCUGUGUGGCCCCACAUGAGGACAUCCGAUCCCGUGCAGGCCACUGGAGGAACUCUGGACUUGGCAGCAUGGUGGAGAGCUCAGAAGUUCCUCCUCUCCGCUUCACCAAUGAUGAAUCCAAGGCACCAUGAAGGGGAAGCCUCAGUUCCUCAUCCAUAGAAUGGGGGUAAAAACAGGACCUACUGAGCCGGGCAUGGAGGUACACACCUGUGAUCCCAGCACUAAGAAAGCUGAGGCAGGAGGACCACAAGUUCAAGGCCAGCCUGAACUGCACAACAUCGUCACAACAGUGCUGACUGCACAGCCUCAGCUCUAAGCCACCUGCUCCUCCUGUGCACUUGCCGGGGUUGCUGUUGCCUGCUCACGCCAGGACCAGCUGCUCGGGACAGGGUCUUCCUUCACCUGAUUUCAGUAUGAGUUGUCAGGAAUAACAUUUAAUCUACUUUUGAGCUCCAACUUGAAGCUUGACAUAUCGCAGAGAUAAACACCACCUGGUGGAGAUCAGACAGUGACAAGUGAAGUUGAAAGUUCCCUGCCAGCUGCCAUCGAAUCUAAAUGAAGGGCAGUCAAAAACUUCAGCUCUCUCAGAAAAAAACGAUGGAAGGAAUCUCAGAACCGAGAGAGGCUGACUUUGCUGCUGUGUACUUAGUGUCAAAACCUCAAGCGACCCCCCAACCCAAGGGAGGAAAGCCUCUGAAUUGGAGCUGGCAAGCUUUCAAAACCGGCUAAUUACUUUCUAGAAUGUGGUUCACAAAACGGGAGUACAAAGCCCGGCUGGAAAUACAGUGGAAACACUGCUUUCCAUGUCAGAGGGCAAAACUGUAACAACGGGUUUAAUGAUUUUAAUGGGCUUUAUUUUCUGAUGCUAGAAUUGGGGAAUACUUUGUUGCACAAGACAGACUGAGUAUUCCAGGGACAGAGUUGGGGGAGGCUUGUGUCAGAGGCUUGGAAGGGCUGAAGGAAGCAGGAACAAGAAACAGAAGCAGAUUGGCCAUUUGAAAGAUGCUUUCCUGGUAAACCCCACACAGGGAGAUGGAACAAUGGAACAGUCGUUGAUCAAUCAAGAUCAGAUUACCUUCUUUGUAAGGAUUAAGGCAGAUUCUACUUCGUAUCACAAAAUUGAAACUGUCCCCUUCUGCAGAAUGUCAAAUAAACAGGUUUGGCUUAAGGGAAGUUUAGCAAGAAUGAUACCAUUAAAAAAAAGAAUGAUACCAUUUUGACUUUUAGCCUGCUGUUAGGAGCUAGAGCAGAAGCCUAGUUCAAAACAGUGGCCUCCUGUACUUCUUUUCUUUUUCUUUUCUUUUCUUUUGUGGCACCGAGGAUUGAACCCAGGGUCUUCACACUGAGCUCCACCCCAAGCCCUUUUUAUUUUUUAUUUUAAGACAGGGGUUUGCUAAGUCCCCCAGAUAGGACUCGAACUUGUGAUCCUCCUGGCUCAGCCUCCCAGAGUGCUGAUGACAGCGCACCACCAUGCCCACACUGUAACUUAACACCCAUACUCUUUGUAGUUAUGCUUUAAUUCCUGAGGGCUUUAAAUGAUCUUUUGAAAGAUUUUUCUAAAAAACACCAGAAAGGACUAUUAUGUUACAGUUACUGAAGAUGAUCAAGUGUGGUACAGAAACUCCCUCACCCUCAAGGUGAAGGUGAACAUCAAGGUUUGACUGAAAAGCAGCAGAGAAACUGGAUGAACAUACUCAGGUGUCCCUUUCCACCUGAGAAGCUGCUGUUGCAUCACCAGGUAACUUAGACAUGGUGGAAGGUUUGUUUUUGUUUUGUUUUUGGUACCGGGAUUGAACUCGGUCCUUGUGCUUGCGAGGCAGGUGGCAGAACCACUGAGCUAAAUCUCCAGCCCCAGUGGAAGGUUUGAUGCAGAAAAUCCUAUCUUCAGCUCUGAGAUUUUCAAAUGUGCCUGAGGAUGGACUCAAUCCAUGAAUCACGGACCACAGGCACUCAGUAGUUUCAUGAGCCUCACUUUAAAAAAAUUUCCUUUUUAGCUUGCAAUACAUAAUGACUGCAUUCACCUUUCUCUGUCUCUGCUCCCCACGCAGUUGAGGCUCCUCUUCUGGGUGCUUCUUUUUUUUGUAAUUCUUUUUACUAGUCCAUAUUUGCAAUACAUAGCGGUCACACUCCUCCUGGGACUUGGCACAUUUACGUCACACACCUUAAUUCAUUUUGUACCCCCUUCCCUUCCCUCCAUGCCUGUUAUCCUUUUAUUAUUUUGCUCUUAAUUUAUUUCUACGUUGGAUUUCUCCUACAAGAGAAUCUAUGUGAUGUUUAAGCUUGUGUGUCUGAUUUAUUCCACUUAACAUUGUGGUCUCAAGGUGCAUACAUUUUCCUAUAAAUGACUCCAAUUUAUCCUUCUUUAUGGUAGAAUAGUGCUCCAUUGUGUGUAAGUAUCACAUUUUCUUCAUCCACUCCUCUGGAUGGACAUAUGGGGCCAGUUCCAACAUUUAGCUAUUCGGAGCUCUGCUGUUAUUUUUAUAGUCAGUAAGUUAGACAGAAAUUAAUACACAGUCAGAGAGGGACUGGGCUCUCAAGGGAGUUAGCAGAAAAAUAAAGCUCAGGAUUAUGGCUGGAAGUACAUCUGAAGAGCAGGCCUCAAGACAAAAAUGCAACGGCCAGACCUACA